RNAcentral lists this ribosomal RNA (253 nucleotides) under uncultured bacterium. Its description in RNAcentral is "partial 16S ribosomal RNA". It matches the Rfam family "Bacterial small subunit ribosomal RNA", at positions 524 to 776 of the family's 1533-position model. The record is from RNAcentral.
UACGUAGGUGACAAGCGUUGUCCGGAUUUACUGGGCGUAAAGAGCGCGCAGGCGGUCGAUCAAGUCGAGUGUGAAAGCCCCCGGCUCAACUGGGGAGGGUCAUUCGAUACUGAUCGACUCGGAGGCAGGAGAGGGUAGUGGAAUUCCCGGUGUAGUGGUGAAAUGCGUAGAGAUCGGCAGGAACACCCAGGGGGAAACCAGUGGACUGGCACGGUGCUGACGCUCAGGUGCGAAAGCGUGGGGAGCGAACCGG